AACGCGACCCCAGGUCAGGCGGGGCUACCCGCUGAAUUUAAGCAUAUCAAUAAGCGGAGGAAAAGAAACUAACAAGGAUUCCCCUA
Molecule: ribosomal RNA, 86 nt
Filed under: Cercis canadensis
Lineage: Eukaryota; Viridiplantae; Streptophyta; Magnoliopsida; Fabales; Fabaceae
Description: partial 26S ribosomal RNA
Rfam family: Eukaryotic large subunit ribosomal RNA
Source: RNAcentral